GUUGGCGGGAGUCCGGUUGCCACGACCCUGGAAGCUGGCAGCGUGGGCAGGACCGCAGGGGGCCCCGGCUUCACCAGUCCUGGGCGCGUAGCAGGGGGAACCGGCAGCCCGACCGCAAGUGCCAGAGGAGGGACCCCAGGAGGUUCCGAGGGCUUGACAGCAGCACCCGGCAGUGAGAGCACACGUGGAGACUCCGGCGCCCCAGGCACGAC
This 212-nucleotide long non-coding RNA is filed under the name Canis lupus dingo (dingo). RNAcentral describes it as "lncRNA (ENSCAFG00020020197.1)". The record is from RNAcentral. Lineage: Eukaryota; Metazoa; Chordata; Mammalia; Carnivora; Canidae.